RNAcentral lists this ribosomal RNA (2193 nucleotides) under human metagenome. RNAcentral's name for it is "bacterial LSU rRNA". It matches the Rfam family "Bacterial large subunit ribosomal RNA", at positions 14 to 2296 of the family's 2925-position model. The record is from RNAcentral.
AGAGCGUAGGGAGAAUGCCUUGGCAUUAGGAGCCGAUGAAGGACGUGAUAAGCUGCGAUAAGCUGCGGGGAUCAGCAAGUAUGAAUUGAUCCGCAGAUUUCCGAAUGGAGCAAUCCGUAUGUGUAUGCACAUACAUCAUAUACUGAAUCAAAUAGGUAUAUGAGGGGAACCGCCUGAACUGAAACAUCUAAGUAGGGCGAGGAAGAGAAAUCAACCGAGAUUCUGUGAGUAGUGGCGAGCGAAAGCGGAAGAGGCUAAACCAUAGGUAGCAAUACUUAUGGGGUUUCGGACAGCAUUUAGUAUUGAUAAUUUCUAGUUGAAACGUGUGGGAAAACGUACCGAAGAGUGUGAGAGUCACGUAAGCGAAAGAGAAAGUCAGCGAGCUGUAUCCAAAGUACCGCGGGACACGUGAAACCCCGUGGGAAGAUGGGGGGACCAUCCUCCAAGCCUAAAUACUACCUAAUGACCGAUAGCGAAUAGUACUGUGAAGGAACGGUGAAAAGAACCCCGGGAGGGGAGUGAAAAAGAACCUGAAACCCUAUGCUUACAAGCACCGAGAGCACGUCAAAGUGUGAUCGGGUACCUUUUGUAGAAUGGUCCGGCGAGUUAUUGUAUGCGGCAAGGUUAAGUGCUUAAGGCACGGAGCCGAAGCGAGAGCAAGUCUGAAUAGGGCGAAAGAGUCGUAUGCAAUAGACCCGAAACCGAGUGACCUAUCCAUGUCCAGGCUGAAGUGGAGGUAAAACUCCAUGGAGGGCCGAACACACGUCCGUUGAAAAGGCCGGUGAUGAGGUGUGGAUAGCGGAGAAAUUCCAAUCGAACUCGGAUAUAGCUGGUUCUCUCCGAAAUAGCUUUAGGGCUAGCCUCGUGAAAGAUUACUGGAGGUAAAGCACUGAAUGGGCUAGGGGUCGAAAGAUUACUGAACCCUAUCAAACUAAGAAUGCCAGAUAAUUGAUUCACGGGAGUCAGACAAUGUGAGAUAAGUCUCAUUGUCAAAAGGGAAACAGCCCAGACCCACAGCUAAGGUCCCUAAACAUUGUUAAGUGGAAAAGGAUGUGGGGUUGCAUAAACAACCAGGAUGUUGGCUUAGAAGCAGCCACUCAUUAAAAGAGUGCGUAAUAGCUCACUGGUCGAGUGACCCUGCGCCGAAAAUUCAACGGGGCUAAACAAUGUACCGAAGCUUGGGAUUCUAAAGUAAUUUAGAGUGGUAGGAGAGCGUCGAAUAAGGGGUGAAGUCAGAGCGGAAGCGCUGGUGGACUUUAUUCGAGUGAGAAUGCCGGAAUGAGUAGCGAGAAUUAUGUGAGAAUCAUAAUGGCCGAAAAUCUAAGGUUUCCUGAGGAAGGUUCGUCCGCUCAGGGUAAGCCGGGGGCUAAGGCGAGGCGGAGACGCGUAGCCGAUGCACAUACGGUUGAAAUUCCGUAGCCACCGAAAGAUUUAAGUACAGGGACGCUUUAGAAGUGAUGUUGCCGGGCGAUGGUUGACCCGGUCGUAAGGGAUCGAAAAUGAGUAGAGAAGUCAUCAUGGAAAGAGACAAGAAAAGCUGUAUGGAUAUCUUAGGUGCCCGUACCGCAAACCGACACAGGUAGAUAGGAAGAAGAUUCUAAGGCCAACGGGAGAAGGGUUGUUAAGGAACUCGGCAAGUUGACCCCGUAACUUAGGGAUAAGGGGUGCUCAAGUGAUUGAGCCGCAGAGAAUAGGCCCAGGCGACUGUUUAGCAAAAACACAGGUCUCUGCUAAAUCGAAAGAUGACGUAUAGGGGCUGACACCUGCCCGGUGCCGGAAGGUUAAGAGGAGAUGUGAGAGCAUUGAAUUGAAGCCCCGGUAAACGGCGGCCGUAACUAUAACGGUCCUAAGGUAGCGAAAUUCCUUGUCAGGUAAGUUCUGACCCGCACGAAAGGUGUAACGAUCUGGGCACUGUCUCAACAACCCGCCCGGCGAAAUUGUAGUACCGGUGAAGAUGCCGGUUACCCGCGACUAGACGGAAAGACCCCAUGGAGCUUUACUGUAGCCUAAUAUUGGAUUUCGGUAUUUCACGUACAGGAUAGGUGGGAGACUGGGAAGCACAGGCGUCAGCUUGUGUGGAGUCGACCUUGGGAUACCACUCUUGGAGUGCUGGAAUUCUAACCUGCGGCUUUGAAGCAAGUCGGGGGACAUUGUUAGGUGGGCAGUUUGACUGGGGCGGUCGCCUCCUAAAGA